AUUGAACGCUGGCGGCAGGCUUAACACAUGCAAGUCGAGCGGAGAUGAGGUGCUUGCACCUUAUCUUAGCGGCGGACGGGUGAGUAAUGCUUAGGAAUCUGCCUAUUAGUGGGGGACAACAUUCCGAAAGGAAUGCUAAUACCGCAUACGCCCUACGGGGGAAAGCAGGGGAUCUUCGGACCUUGCGCUAAUAGAUGAGCCUAAGUCGGAUUAGCUAGUUGGUGGGGUAAAGGCCUACCAAGGCGACGAUCUGUAGCGGGUCUGAGAGGAUGAUCCGCCACACUGGGACUGAGACACGGCCCAGACUCCUACGGGAGGCAGCAGUGGGGAAUAUUGGACAAUGGGCGGAAGCCUGAUCCAGCCAUGCCGCGUGUGUGAAGAAGGCCUUUUGGUUGUAAAGCACUUUAAGUUGGGAGGAAGGGCAGUAAGUUAAUACCUUGCUGUUUUGACGUUACCGACAGAAUAAGCACCGGCUAACUUCGUGCCAGCCGCCGCAGUAA
Molecule: ribosomal RNA, 500 nt
Filed under: uncultured bacterium
Lineage: Bacteria
Description: partial 16S ribosomal RNA
Rfam family: Bacterial small subunit ribosomal RNA
Source: RNAcentral